CUCAUCCUUAAGGACUUUGGCUGUGGUUUCGCCCACACUGAAAAGUCCACCCAUUCCACGCCCUCCUCGACCUAAGCCUGCAGGACCUCUUCUUAAUGUGUACAAUAAAGAGCCAAUAAUAAGGAUUGUGGGCAGCAAACUCAGGAGAAAUGAUCCAUCACUCUCUGUUGAGUAGACUACAGGCAACCUGUUCUCCACUUCUAUACCCAGGUCUUGCUGCACAGUUUCAAGAUUUCGUUCGAAAGUGUCCACACUACCGAUAUUAAACCAGACGUACUGCCAUUCAUGAGGAGACUUUCCUGACACAAAGAUCACUCUAACAAAGCGCUUGUUCACCACUUCCAGUCUGUCCACCACUCCUUUAGAAAGGUAGUUAUUAACAAAGUCUUUCCAGGUGAUUUCUCUCCCAGGGACCCUGAAGAAGAAGUAAUACACAACCAUCGUCCAGAAAAAUGAACUUCCCACUACGUACAUACGGAACUCCCUGACGUCCCAAGGAAUGUCACCCUUCUGCAAUCUGGUCCACCAGUUUGCAUCUUCUUUCUUGCCGCCUUUCUUCCCACCGCUGCCGCCUCCUCCACUACCAGUCCCACUUGGCUGUCGGGCAGCAGCUUGCUUUGCUUCUUUUGUUUCUCCAGCUGAACCUUUAGUUCCAUUAGGUUUCUUCCCAUUGGGAAAAUAUUUUUCAAAUCCUUUGGGAGGCUGUGAGAAGAGCCUUCUGCAAGCAGCAAUGACGCUUGCCAAGACCGUCCUUCUGUGAGUCGUAACACCGGUGGGAACACUUUCACGAAGCUGUGCCAGGCAGGGCCGCGGCGGCAGCAGGCCUCUCCCGCACAGCAGCUGCUGCAGCAGUACCCCGGGCAGCCGCCGCCCGCCGCCCAGCGCCAGCAGCAGGUAGCGCUGCGCCAUGGCCCCAACGGCCGUCCCGUGGCCGCCGCUCCGCCGUCACGCCGCCGCUCCGCCCCCGCGCGCUACGUC
RNAcentral lists this long non-coding RNA (978 nucleotides) under Gallus gallus (chicken). The record is from RNAcentral. Lineage: Eukaryota; Metazoa; Chordata; Aves; Galliformes; Phasianidae.